This is a long non-coding RNA of Plodia interpunctella (Indianmeal moth), 687 nucleotides long. RefSeq lists it as uncharacterized. The record is from RefSeq and is a predicted model, not a curated record. The transcript has 2 exons. NCBI's taxonomy places the organism in Eukaryota, Metazoa, Arthropoda, Insecta, Lepidoptera, Pyralidae.
AUCAUAAUCAGAUCUUAAUUCUUAAAAAAUUAAAAGCUAUUUUCAAGUGUAAUAUGUAAUUAUGAUUCAAAUUUAAGACAGAAGAUAAUGUGUUCUCCUUAAAAAUUUCCUUUUAAAGAACGAAUUGAAUUUUGGUAAGACUUACGACUUGUAUAUAUGUAGAGUUAAUGCAUUAUUAUAUCGAUUAAUAUAUUCGAUAUAUCCAAUUUUAUGCUUAUUUGAUUUCGGUCGUUAUGUUAAAUUAGGUUCAAUUUAAGCAUAAAAAUAUAAAACAUACAUAAGCUGUACAUAGUCGAUAUUCUUACCAGUUUUCAAAGAACCGACUUCAGACAAUUAUGUUAUGGAGAGGUGUGAUUUAUUUAUUGGCCAUACAAGUGAUUCGCCGUAUACAGCGAGAGGCGUAUGUUGCCUGACGGGAAAGUAUGCGGAACUGAUGGCAGGACUUAUCCGAGCGAAGCUGCUUUGAAAGCAGCUUAAUGGCUGGUACCAGAACUACAAAUAAUAUACUAUUCUUCGUGUUUUAUUCCAGGGUUGGUUAUGCCUGCUGUUUCACGGGAGUAUAGCCGCAGUCUCAUAUAAAUUACGUGGAUCCGCGUGUGGGUUAUCAAAAUUCCAUAGCCUAACCUUAAUGACAGUUUGUAAAAAGUAACCAAUAUCAAUUAAUAUAUAAUAAAACAGUAAAAAAUG